AGAAAGAAACAAAACAAAACAAAACAAAACAUAUUGCUAAACAUGGUCACCAUGGCUGCAUGUAGAGAAACACCUGGUAAUUAUCCGUAAUCACCAGUCAUUAACAUCAGCUAUGAGCUACCAUCACCUGGUGAUUCUGUGUUAUCGGCGGAGCUCAAUCAUCCGUUUCAUGUUUUAGUUUCUACCUUUAGGACCCUGGACCUGCAUGACAGUCCGUCCAUCUCACUUACAUUACAUCUGUUUUUGUUUUGUUUUUUCAACCGUUUCCAGUUUUCGCCUUGAGAUUUGAUCUAAUAACACAGGACCCUGCAAAACAAGUGCAGUUUUCAAGGCUGGAGACAUGAUGUGGAAGCGGAAGGACGUCAAAACCACGGUUUACGUGUAGGAGUCGGACAUUGACGACCUGAGCUGCAGAGAAAUAAUUCUAUGCACGGAGACAGAUCCAGGAUGGACUGGAUGAAGCAUUCAGAUAAAAAUCAAAGAAUGAAGCUCCAUUUCAAAACACCAUCCCCCCAGGCAAUAUUCAGACCGAGUAAAAGAGCUGUUUGUAACUGCGGCGAAGGGAAGGGAGCUGUUUGCACUGAGAGAGCGGCGUCCUUGAGCUGGAGGCUGGAUUACAGCCCUUCUUGCUUGAUAACCACAUGGACACCACACUGCUGUGUUAGACACUUGUCUUUGGAAAAUAUUAAGAUGUCAGAUUAAAAAAAAAAAAAAACAACUCCUGAAAUAAACAAUAAUUUUCAUUACACCUUAGCCGUUUAAAUUCCAGAAAACCAAAUAUAUGUGAUUGUUGACAUUAAUCUUUUGUGGAUGUUAAUUAUUUUACCUCUAGUUAAUUAUUAAAGCAUUGUUUUACUUUUUGCAUAUAAAUUAGUUUCCAAAUUUCCAAGAAUUCUAUAGUCAACCUUUGGAGAACAUGACACGUGUCAUCAGCUUGUCUUAACUAAAUAGAUUCCUAACUUCACUCCAGACAGAAUUAUAUUUUAAUACUAGUAAAGAACUUCUUCCUAAAUACCAAGGUUAAUAUUACUGUACUACAUGCCUUGAUGUAGAUGUAGUGCCACCAGGCCUGCAGAUCCACCAGGCUCCAAAAUCAGGUUGGGUUGUAUCAACAUCAAAAUAAUCCCAAAACAAUUCUGGUGUGAAUCUUGAUUUAAACCUGUGGAGUAUACCAAAAUCCACCAACUCAGGAGGGCUUUUACACUUGCAAAUAUUUGGGCAUGAAAAUAAUUGGGAACCAACACUACUUUAGUGUUUAGUGUUCAGGUUCACGUCAGAUGUAACUAUGAAAGUUAACCACCACAUCACAUGUCAUCAUGUAUCACUCAGGACAGAAUAAAGUACUUCCUGUUCUGUAUGGACGUCUCUUAAAACGUGACAGCAAAAGAAAACAAACAUAGAUGAAGAAUGAAACCACUUUUAGUUCUACAGCAGAGUUGAGACCCUGGUGGAAUCUGAGUUACUGCAGGCUGGAAAUCUCUGACUCCAGCUCUUUGUGGAUCAUCUGAACCUCACAGCUUUCCUUUACCAAAGCUCCACUUUGCCACGAAUUAGGCUCUAAUGCCACUCCUCUGUCUAUUGAUUUGUUAAGCGUGCAUUUCCUGUCCUGCUUUGAUGUCAUUGUGGUGUCAGUGUAUGGAAGAUUCCGGAUAAAAUUAUAGUGGGUUUUAGCUUUUAAGCUUAUUAUUUCAGGGGAUUAUUCAGUCGCAGUUGAAUUACCAUUUUUAUUCUCUUUUUUUGGGCCACAAAUUGGAUUAUUCUACUCUAUUCUACUCUUUGCUACAGAGGCGAUAUCAAAUAUCCAUCACUGAUAGGCUGUUGCCAUGAAAACUCACUAAAGCGGUGCAGACCGGUGCCGAUGGGGUCAUGAGAGAGUUAUGUGUGGAGGUUUUACCAGCUUGGCCAACAAGAUCUGCAGCAUAGAGCAGAACAAAAUGAUGGUCCUUAGAGUCUGGGAUCUGAGCGAAAUAAAGCACAGUGACCAAAUGUAGCACAAAGACAUUAUGCAUUACAGCAGAAUAUUUACAAAGGCGGUAAUUCUGCUGCUUUGUGUGUUCAAUA
Cynoglossus semilaevis (tongue sole) is the source of this 2061-nucleotide long non-coding RNA. RefSeq lists it as uncharacterized. Lineage: Eukaryota; Metazoa; Chordata; Actinopteri; Pleuronectiformes; Cynoglossidae. The record is from RefSeq and is a predicted model, not a curated record. The transcript is spliced from 3 exons.